RNAcentral lists this ribosomal RNA (760 nucleotides) under uncultured soil bacterium. Its description in RNAcentral is "bacterial SSU rRNA". It matches the Rfam family "Bacterial small subunit ribosomal RNA", at positions 8 to 796 of the family's 1533-position model. The record is from RNAcentral.
AGAGUUUGAUCCUGGCUCAGGACAAACGCUGGCGGCGUGCCUAAAACAUGCAAGUCGAACGGGCCACUUCGGUGGUCAGUGGCGGACGGCUGAGUAACACGUGGGUGACCUGCCUUCGCGCGGGGGACAACCGCCCGAAAGGGUGGCUAAUACCGCAGAUGUCGUCCAUUCGGUUGGAUGACUAAACCUCGAGAGGGGGCGCGGAGAGGGGCCCGCGGCCGAUUAGCUGGCUGGUGGGGUGACGGCCUACCAGGGCGACGAUCGGUAGCUGGUCUGAGAGGAUGAUCAGCCAGACUGGGACUGCGACACGGCCCAGACUCCUACGGGAGGCAGCAGUUAGGAAUUUUGGGCAAUGGGGGGAACCCUGACCCAGCAACGCCGCGUGGGUGAUGAAGGCCUUCGGGUCGUAAAGCCCUUUUCCACGGGACGAUGGUGACGGUACCGUGGGAAUCAGCCCCGGCUAACUACGUGCCAGCAGCCGCGGUAAUACGUAGGGGGCGAGCGUUGUCCGGAUUUAUUGGGCGUAAAGCGCUCGCAGGCGGUCGGCCGCGUCGCGCGUGAAGGCCCCCGGCUCAACCGGGGGUGGUCGCGGGAAACGGGUCGACUGGAGGUAGGUAGGGGGACGCGGAAUUCCCGGUGUAGUGGUGGAAUGCGUAGAGAUCGGGAGGAACACCGGCGGCGAAGGCGGCGUCCUGGACCUGGCCUGACGCUCAGGAGCGAAAGCGUGGGGAGCGAUCCGGAUUAGAUACCCCAGUAGUCC